GGGGGGGGGGGGCGGGGGGGGGGGGGCGGGCGGGGGGGGCGGGGGGGGCGGGCGUGGCGGGGGGCGGGGGGGGGGCGCGGGGGAACGUGCCCUUGGCGUCGGAAUAGCCCUGGGAAACUGGGAGUAAUACCGGAUGAGCCCUUUGGGGGAAAGAUUUAUCGGCGAAGGAUCGGCCCGCGUUGGAUUAGGUAGUUGGGGGGGUAAUGGCCUACCAAGCCGACGAUCCAUAGCUGGUUUGAGAGGAUGGUCAGCCACACUGGGACUGAGACACGGCCCAGACUCCUACGGGAGGCAGCAGUGGGGAAUCGUAGACAAGGGGGGAAACCCUGAUCUAGCCAUGCCGCGUGAGCGAUGAAGGCCUUAGGGUUGUAAAGCUCUUUCAGCUGGGAAGAUAAUGACGGUACCAGCAGAAGAAGCCCCGGCUAACUCCGUG
Molecule: ribosomal RNA, 433 nt
Filed under: uncultured bacterium
Lineage: Bacteria
Description: partial 16S ribosomal RNA
Rfam family: Bacterial small subunit ribosomal RNA (bases 45-433)
Source: RNAcentral